This 253-nucleotide ribosomal RNA is filed under the name uncultured bacterium. Its description in RNAcentral is "partial 16S ribosomal RNA". It matches the Rfam family "Bacterial small subunit ribosomal RNA", at positions 524 to 776 of the family's 1533-position model. The record is from RNAcentral.
UACGAAGGGGGCUAGCGUUGCUCGGAAUCACUGGGCGUAAAGGGUGCGUAGGCGGGUCUUUAAGUCAGGGGUGAAAUCCUGGAGCUCAACUCCAGAACUGCCUUUGAUACUGAGGAUCUUGAGUUCGGGAGAGGUGAGUGGAACUGCGAGUGUAGAGGUGAAAUUCGUAGAUAUUCGCAAGAACACCAGUGGCGAAGGCGGCUCACUGGACUGGUACUGACGCUGAGACGCGAAAGCGUGGGGAGCAAACAGG